This 480-nucleotide long non-coding RNA is filed under the name Homo sapiens (human). Its description in RNAcentral is "non-protein coding lnc-TNFRSF14-1:2". Lineage: Eukaryota; Metazoa; Chordata; Mammalia; Primates; Hominidae. The record is from RNAcentral.
UGGAGUUGCUGGGUCCUAGGGAAGGGUCCACGUCUGACAAGUCCACCGUGGCUGCCCUUCUGGGCCUGUUGCUGCUGACUCACGUUCCCACGGCCACCUUUCCCUGCGUCUGGACGUAGUAGCAAUUUCUCGUUGGAUGUGGACAUUGUGCUGUGACCGCUUUGAUCACCUGGCAUUUUUGUUGGGUUGUUUUUGGCCUUCCUUUAAAGGACGCUGCGCUGUGUUCUGCGUGGAGUUCAGCUCCUUGCUCUUCACUUUGGUCUUCGUGUGGCUGGUUCUGAAGCCUCUCAGAGCAGGUCCAGCCCAGCCUUUCCUGCAGGAAGAGUCCAGCCCCACUCCCAGGACGGGCCCUGCUGGGUGGCUGCCAACAGCCCAGGAUCCUCCAGGACUCUCCCCCUGGCGGUUGGAACUCCUGUCUCCCACCUGUGAGUCCCAGGGGCCGGGGGUCCACAGCCCCCUAGGGUCCCAUCCAUGCUGAAG